Molecule: transfer RNA, 71 nt
Filed under: Marmota monax (woodchuck)
Lineage: Eukaryota; Metazoa; Chordata; Mammalia; Rodentia; Sciuridae
Description: tRNA.Ala
Rfam family: tRNA
About the family: Transfer RNA (tRNA) molecules are approximately 80 nucleotides in length. Their secondary structure includes four short double-helical elements and three loops (D, anti-codon, and T loops).
Source: RNAcentral
GGGGCUGUAGCUCAUUGGUAGAGUGCCCUCCUUGCACGUGUGAGGCACUGGGUUUGAUCCUCAGCACCACA